CAAUGAUUGAAUAAUGGUUCUGUUGGAGCAUCAGUAAAAAGAGAUUGAAAGGAAAAUUAGUCUUAUAAGAGAGAACGGAAAAAUAAACACUGAUCUGGCCCACAACACGAACCAGACCUGAGCAGAAAAAAAAUGCUUGCUAAGCUAUCUGUUUCACACAUGCACGGACAGAAGGUUCGAUAUUCAUUCGAUCGAUGAAUGAAAAGGCACAAUGGCAAAAUCGGACGGGCUCCUUUUCAAAUCCACGUCUCCGAUGUCCCCCCCGCCACCCUUCCACAGUCUGCAGUCGCUCGGCGGCUGGUGUGGCAGGCAGAGUGGAAGGAGAGGAGAGAGAAAGAGUGAGGGGAGAGCAAGGGUUACAUCAAGGCUGCUCCCUGGACCGUGCAAACAAGUCUAGACCAGUGACCUGUUCAAUGGCUCCUUUUGAGGAGCGGUGCAAGUUCGGUCAGGGCGAGGAGAAAGCCAGGCGGGCCCUUCUUUUCAGUGCCGGAGCAGCUCAAAGCCCGCGGCUGCCAGGAGAUAGGAAGAGAGUGAGAUUACUCCAUACCCUGUAAGGCACACAAACAACAAGAUACCGUGACAAGAUCCUGAGGCCAUUUUCGUGCCACUCAUCCACCACCAUCACCUCAUGUUUCAGCAUGAUAAUGGACGGCCCCAUGUCGCAAGGAUCUGUAUACAAUUCCUGGAAGCUGAAAAUGUCCCAGUUUUUCCAUGGCCUGCAUACUCACCAGACAUGUCACCCAUUGAGCAUGUUUGGGAAAGGCUGGAUCGCCGUGUACGACAGCGUGUUACAGUUCCCGCCAAUAUCGAGCAACCUUGCACAGCAAUUGAAGAGUAGUGGGACAACAUUCCACAGGCCACAAUCAACAGCCUGAUCAACUCUAUGCGAAGGAGAUGUGUCGCACAGCAUGAGUCAAAUGGUGGUCACACCAAAUACUGACUGGUUUUAUGAUCCACUCCCCUACCUGUUUUAUAAAGGUUUCUGUGACCAACAGAUGCAUAUAUGUAUUACCAGUCAUGUGAAAUCCAUAGAUUAGGGCCCAAUGAAUUUAUUUCAAUUGACUGAUUUCCUUGUGAAUUGUAACUCAGUAAAAUAUUUUAGGUCAAUAUACUAUAGUUUACUAUAGCACUAUCUGUACUAUUUGUGACAUAAAUUGAGUAUGUACUAUGCUUAUUGGUCAUAGUAUACUUAGUAUGCCAAAAGAUCCCGAAUGUCGUACUGAAUUCGCCAAAAUAUGAAGUAUACAAGCAGUGGAAACUAUUUCUGAGCUUUUGGGGCCCAUAAUGCAAUUCUUCAGAAAAUGGGCAUGGCUUCACAACAUUUUCAGAUUUGAAGAAAAUGCAGCCGAAGUCCGAUGAGCAGAUCCAAACUCAUUGCUUUAACUAAUUAUGACAAUUGUUAAGAAAAUGUUCAGC
Oncorhynchus tshawytscha (Chinook salmon) is the source of this 1416-nucleotide long non-coding RNA. NCBI's taxonomy places the organism in Eukaryota, Metazoa, Chordata, Actinopteri, Salmoniformes, Salmonidae. The record is from Ensembl.